GGUUGAUCCUGCCAGUAGUCAUAUGCUUGUCUCAAAGAUUAAGCCAUGCAUGUCUAAGUAUAAGCAACUUGUACUGUGAAACUGCGAAUGGCUCAUUAAAUCAGUUAUCGUUUAUUUGAUAGUACCUUACUACAUGGAUACCUGUGGUAAUUCUAGAGCUAAUACAUGCUAAAAACCCCGACUUCAGGAAGGGGUGUAUUUAUUAGAUAAAAAACCAACGCCCUUCGGGGCUCCUUGGUGAAUCAUAAUAACUUAACGAAUCGCAUGGCCUUGCGCCGGCGAUGGUUCAUUCA
This 293-nucleotide ribosomal RNA is filed under the name uncultured eukaryote. Its description in RNAcentral is "partial 18S ribosomal RNA". It matches the Rfam family "Eukaryotic small subunit ribosomal RNA", at positions 6 to 301 of the family's 1831-position model. The record is from RNAcentral.